RNAcentral lists this ribosomal RNA (440 nucleotides) under uncultured bacterium. Its description in RNAcentral is "partial 16S ribosomal RNA". It matches the Rfam family "Bacterial small subunit ribosomal RNA", at positions 338 to 795 of the family's 1533-position model. The record is from RNAcentral.
CCUACGGGAGGCAGCAGUGGGGAAUAUUGCACAAUGGGGGAAACCCUGAUGCAGCGACGCCGCGUGAGUGAAGAAGUAUUUCGGUAUGUAAAGCUCUAUCAGCAGGGAAGAAAAUGACGGUACCUGAUUAAGAAGCCCCUGCUGACUACGUGCCAGCAGCCGCGGUAAUACGUAGGGGGCAAGCGUUAUCCGGAUUUACUGGGUGUAACGGGAGCGUAGACGGCAGCACAAGUCUGGAGUGAAAUGGCGGGGCUUAACCCCGGAACUGCUUUGGAAACUGUGCAGCUAGAGUGCAGGAGAGGUAAGUGGAAUGACUAGUGUAGCGGUGAAAUGCGUAGAUAUUAGGAGGAACACCAGUGGCGAAGGCGGCUUACUGGACUGUAGCUGACGUUGAGGCUCGAAAGCGUGGGGAGCAAACAGGAUUAGAUACCCUAGUAGUC